Molecule: ribosomal RNA, 75 nt
Filed under: Candidatus Lloydbacteria bacterium RIFCSPHIGHO2_02_FULL_50_13
Lineage: Bacteria; Candidatus Lloydiibacteriota
Description: partial 23S ribosomal RNA
Source: RNAcentral
AGACCAUGCGUGAGACAGGUCGGUCUCCUAUCUGCUGCAGGCGUUGAUUCUUGAAGAGAUUUGCUUCUAGUACGA